Molecule: ribosomal RNA, 359 nt
Filed under: uncultured bacterium
Lineage: Bacteria
Description: bacterial SSU rRNA
Rfam family: Bacterial small subunit ribosomal RNA
Source: RNAcentral
AGCGUUAAUCGGAUUUACUGGGCGUAAAGCGUGKGUAGGUKGGCUUCCUAAGUCGGUUGUGAAAUCCCCUGGGCUCAACCUGGGAAUUGCAGUCGAUACUGGGAAGCUCGAGUUCGGUAGAGGACGGCGGAAUUCCCGGUGUAGCGGUGAAAUGCGUAGAUAUCGGGAGGAACAUCGAUGGCGAAAGCAACCGUCUGGGCCUGAACUGACACUGAGACACGAAAGCGUGGAGAGCAAACAGGAUUAGAUACCCUGGUAGUCCACGCCGUAAACGAUGAGAACCUGACGUCGGUUUGCUCUGCGAAUCGGUGUCGUAGCUAACGCGAUAAGUUCUCCGCCUGGGGAGUACGGCCGCAAGG